Rhea pennata is the source of this 6112-nucleotide RNA transcript. It is a transcript of the gene named filamin A interacting protein 1, with no coding region annotated. The transcript has 9 exons. The record is from RefSeq and is a predicted model, not a curated record. NCBI's taxonomy places the organism in Eukaryota, Metazoa, Chordata, Aves, Rheiformes, Rheidae.
GAGGAACUCAGUAAAGCCUGCUCCAAACUUCUCAGCUGUUGACAGGCUUGACUUGCUGAGAACACUGGUUAAAUAUAGCACACGCGAGCUGAGCUCAACAAAGUCAUUGCUGUAACACUGUGCGAAGAGACCAGAAGAGGGGAAAUACAAUCUGAGAACUAAACUGCCAAAGCCUAACACCACCUAGCAACAGUUGAAAAAACUUUUAAACAAAAGUCUGGGUGAGACACCGACAGAGUAUACCCCUACUUCUCCUGCCUGGGAUUUCUGUGAGAGCGGCUACGGUCUUCUGUUCUCUACCCUCUUGCCUUCACCACUUCAGCUGCUGGUGGACCUAGAAAAGUGGGAAAAGUUUCUCUCUUUGUGUUCUCCUGGGCUGGAUCAGGCUAAUACUGUGGGACAAGCUGCUGCAAUCUUGAGGGGUGAAGGAUAUAUUCCUAGGUUCUUCUUGCUCCCAGGGAGCAGCAGGGACCCCAGUCAGCCUCGGGUGGGAGCAGCAAAGCAAUGGCACAGGGACACCUUCAGCCUCGACUCUCUCCUCCCGGGUCCGGACCUAGAUUCUAGCGAAGUCCGUGCUCCGGCAGCGUCCCUCGACACAGAUAGGGAUGAGGUCCCGAAACCAAGGCGGAGAAAGCUCGUCUAACGGGCACUUCUCCAGUUCCAAGCCUGUCAUCAGCCAUGCAGAGAAUGAAAAACUUCAGGAGGAUGCCAAGAAAAAGAACAAACCUCAUCGGAAGGAAGAUGAGGUCAUGGUAUCUGCAACUGUCAAACGGCACUCAAAAUCACCUGGACCUAGCGAACGAAAGAACAAGAAGUCCAUAGAGUUUUCUAAAGAGGACUUAAUAAAACUCCUCAGCAUAAUGGAAGGAGAGUUGCAGGCAAGGGAGGAUGUGAUCCAUAUGCUGAAGACAGAGAAAACCAAACCUGAAGUUUUAGAAGCUCAUUAUGGAUCUGCAGCUCCAGAGAAUGUGCUCCGAGUGCUACACAGGGAUGCCAUCCUUGCCCAAGAAAAAUCGAUAGGAGAAGAUGUCUAUGAGAAACCAAUUUCAGAGCUGGACAGACUUGAAGAAAAGCAGAAAGAGACAUAUCGACGCAUGCUGGAACAGCUUCUCUUGGCAGAAAAGUGCCAUCGCCGCACAGUUUAUGAGCUAGAAAAUGAGAAGCAUAAACACACAGAUUACAUGAACAAGAGCGAUGACUUUACCAACCUCUUGGAACAGGAGCGUGAGAGGUUGAAGAAACUUCUCGAGCAGGAGAAGAUCUAUCAAGCCCGCAAGGAGAAAGAACAUACAAAGAGACUCAAUAAACUAAGAGAAGAACUAGUCAAGCUCAAAUCAUUUGCACUCAUGCUGGUGGAUGAAAGACAAAUGCAUAUUGAACAACUUGGACAACAAAGCCAGAAAAUACAAGAUCUAAAUCAAAAACUAAAGGAAGAAGAAGAAAAACUUAAAAUUAUUAGUGCAAAAACAAAAGAAGAUGGACAAAAACUGAUGAAGUUGGAAACAGAACUUGAACACAGGACACUAUCAUUUUCUCAAGAACAUGAGGAGAUGACUGCUAAACUGGUUAAUCAGGAGUCACACAAUAGACAGCUGAGGCUUAAGCUAGUUGGAUUGACCCGUCGAAUAGAGGAACUAGAAGAAACUAACAAAAAUCUUCAAAAAGCUGAGGAGGAACUUCAGGAACUAAGAGAUAAAAUAGCAAAAGGGGAAUGUGGGAACUCUAGCUUAAUGGCAGAAGUGGAAAACCUCCGCAAACGUGUGCUUGAAAUGGAAGGAAAAGAUGAAGAGAUCACAAAAACUGAAUCUCAGUGUAAAGAGCUGAAGAAUAAGCUGCAAGAGGAAGAGCACCAUAGCAAAGAGCUGAAACUUGAAGUGGAAAAAUUGCAGAAAAGAAUGUCAGAACUAGAGAAACUGGAAGAGGCUUUUACUAAAAGUAAGUCUGAAUGCACCCAGCUACACUUAAACUUGGAAAAAGAAAAGAAUUUAACUAAAGAUUUGAUAAAUGAGUUGGAAGUGGUGAAGACUCGAGUAAAAGACCUUGAGUCAUCAGAAAGCAAGUUGGAAAAGGCUGAAAUAAGCUUAAAAGAUGACCUUACAAAGCUGAAGUCAUUUACUGUAAUGUUGGUUGAUGAACGAAAAAAUAUGAUGGAAAAAAUAAAACAGGAAGAAAAAAAGGUUGAGAGUUUAAACAAGAAUUUUAAAGUGGAACAAGGGAAAGUUAUGGAUGUUACUGAGAAACUGAUAGAAGAAAGCAAGAAGUUUUUGAAACUGAAAUCUGAAAUGGAGGAAAAAGUGUCUAGUUUAACAAAGGAAAGAGAUGAAUUAAUCAGCAAACUGAAAAGUGAAGAAGAAAAAUCCUCUGAACUAAGCUGUAGAGUUGAUCUGUUAAAGAAAAGAAUUGAUGGUAUGGAGGAAGUAGAAAGAGAAAUAACAAGAGGUCGAGCCAGAAAAGGACCGGAGCAUGCUUGUCACGAGGACAAUAAGAUUAAAGAACUUACCAUUGAAAUAGAAAAACUGAAAAAACGUCUCAAGCAAUUGGAAGUGGUUGAAGGAGAUUUGAUGAAGACAGAAGAUGAAUAUGAUCAGCUAGAGCAGAAAUUUAGAACUGAGCAGGACAAAGCUAACUUUCUCUCUCAACAGCUGGAGGAGAUGAAACUCCAGAUUGCCAAAAACAAAGCCAUAGAAAAAGGUGAAGCAGUGAGCCAGGAAGCAGAGUUGAGGCACAGAUUUCGUCUGGAAGAGGCUAAAAGCAGAGACUUGCAAGCAGAAGUUCAAGCUCUUAAGGAGAAAAUCCAUGAGCUGAUGAACAAAGAAGACCAGCUUUCCCAACUCCAAGUUGAUUAUUCAGUUCUUCAACAAAGAUUUAUGGAAGAAGAAAAUAAAAACAAAAGCAUGGGGCAGGAAGUUCUGAACUUAACAAGAGAGUUAGAACUUUCUAAGCGUUACAGUCGUGCUCUGAGGCCCAGCAUAAAUGGACGGAGAAUGGUAGAUAUUCCUGUGACAUCCACUGGUGUGCAAACAGAUGCUGUAAGCAGUGAAGCAGCAGAAGAAGAAACUCCAGCUGUAUUUAUAAGGAAAUCCUUCCAGGAGGAGAACCACAUCAUGAGCAAUCUGCGACAAGUAGGUCUGAAAAAACCCAUGGAACGUUCUUCGGUGCUUGAGAGAUAUCCUCCAGCAGCAAAUGAACUUGCAAUGAGGAAAUCUUGGAUACCAUGGAUGAGAAAGAGGGAAACUGGGGCUCAAGUAACUCCUGAUAAAGGACCCCGAACCCAUGGUAGUGCCGGGCAUCCUGGGGAGGUUGUCCUAUCACCAAAGCAAGGUCAACCUCUUCAUAUUCGAGUGACACCAGAUCAUGAGAAUAGCACAGCUACUUUGGAGAUAACCAGUCCAACCUCAGAGGAAUUUUUUUCAAGCACCACUGUCAUUCCUACUUUGGGAAACCAGAAGCCACGAAUAACCAUCAUUCCCUCUCCAAAUGUUAUGUCCCCAAAAGGAAAGGGCAGUGAAAGUCCAAUGGGCUCAGAUCGUUCUAUGUCUCCAGUCACUAUAACAACAUUCUCCAGGGAAAAGUCUCCAGAUGGAGGGAGAGCACCGUUUUUGGACAGACCUGCAUCACCAAUUCAGAUUAUGACAGUAUCGACAUCUGCAGCACCAGCAGAAAUCUCUGUUUCUCCACAGUCACAAGAUAUGACCAUGGGAAGGGCUGUCUUCAAAGUAACACCAGAAAAACAAACUGUCCCAACUCCAGUCCGGAAGUACAAUGCCAAUGCCAACAUUAUAACAACAGAAGACAACAAAAUUCACAUCCACUUAGGUUCUCAGUUUAAGCGCUCUCCUAAUGCUGCAUCUGAUGGUGCAAGUCCUGUGAUAACAGUCAGACCAGUGAAUAUAGCAGCAGAAAAAGAAGUUGUGACUGGUACCGUCCUGCGAUCCCCCCGGAACAAUCUGUCCCCACGACCAGGAGCAAGCAAAGUGACAAGUACUAUCACUAUAACUCCUGUUACAACAUCUUCCACACGAGGAACACAAUCAGUGACAGGACAGGAUGGGUCAUCCCCGAGACCUACACCCACCCGCAUUCCCGUGUCAAAAGGUAUGAAAGCAGGAAAGCCAGUAGUGGCAGCCCCAGGAGCAGGAAAUGUGACAAAAUUCGAGCCUCGUGCCGAGACUCAGUCUAUGAAAAUAGAACUGAAGAAGUCUUCAGCCAGCAGCUCUGCCUCCCUGGGCGGGGGGAAGGGCUGAUGGCGGUGGCUGAGGGGGAGAGAUUUGAUAGAAGACUCUACUACGGAAGGUCAGCAAAAUUAUAUUCAAUCCAAGCGAUGUUUUGUCUUAGUCAGCCCUUUGCACUGCUCUCCUGUUUAAGAUCCAGAGAGUGUCAUCAUUCAUCAGUUACGCAUGAACUCUAGAUGAGACACCCUCCCCCAGCAGAUCCUCUCUGUGUGCACUACCCUCCUGACCAGUUGGAUGGAUCACUGCAGAAGCUCUCUACCAUCAACACCGGGGUCGCUUGUGCUACUGAUUAUUCAUGGAAGUGUUUUAUUGCUUCCAUUAGGUUUUAUAUAUUUUUUCUUGGUAGAGCUCUAAGAAUGAAUGGCCUUGCUGAUAUUUUGAGAGUACAUAGUCAGAGAGAGAGUAGCAGUCUUUCUGCCAGCUGAAUUUCACUUUUAUUUGUGAAGCCUAAAGCACGUGCUUGGUUUUGUUUGAUGUUUGCAAUAUAAUUUAUUUUUAUAAUACACUUUGUAAUGUAACUGUCCCAAAAUUGUAAUUCCUGUUGUCCAUGGCGCAUUUAUUUGUAGAAUACACUGUCAAAUUUGCAAUUUGAUAUUUUUGUAAUAAAGAGUAUGUAAAGAAAGUAAAAUUUAAUUUCAGCAACAUUUUAUCUUUAAAUGGAAAAAGUAUUCAGCACAAAUUUUUUGCCAUCAUAUGAUUCUGUGAGACUAAAUGCUCUGAAGACUGCUGUAUAGAAUUUGUACUGUUGCAGAAUAUUUCUUGCACUGUGUGAUGGUUUGGCAUAAAAUUAAGUAUUAAAGUCCAAUGCCUUGAAAUACAACCAGAAUUACUCAUUUUAAACAAUGUAAGCCAGUUUUUAAAGCUGUGAUUUUUUUCUAUAUAAUGUAUGUUUUUACUUCUGCCUGUACCAAAAGAGUUGAUUUUCAUUACACUGUAGUUAAUAAAUUUUCACAACUAUGCAAAUGUAAUCAAGUGUUUGAAUUUUAACUCUAAUUUCUUAAGGUUGACAGUAUUCACUUAUAUAUUUGUUAAUAGGGACAGAAAGUAUGGCUUUGAUAUUUGCUUUUUCUGACUGGUAUUUCAGUGUAAUAUCACAGUGAUAUACAUAGUAAAGCUGAUUCAAAUGUUGUUUAUGAUAUGAAGAGGAAUCUAUCACCAAGCACUUAAUGAUGUAACUGUUUCUAACUUUUGCUUUCACUUCAUUGGCAAAUAUGUCAACUCAGUAUGAGACCAUUUAGUGCAAGACUAGUAAGACUGUAUAAAUGAGAUGUCGUGCACUCUGCCGUAUGCUGUACUAAGCAUUUUAUACUGGUGGCUGUAGCUUUUCAAACAGCAUCUGGAAAGCUCUGUGGCAGCUAUACUUAAAGUGAUUUUUGAGUGAAUUAUAUAUAAAGCCAGAUACAACCCAUAAAAGAUCUUUUCUUCUUAUGUAUUCUAUAAUGCAUUUUUAGUUUAAAUCAUCAACAUAUUCAAAAUACUGCAGACUUUUUAUUAUAGAAGGUACUGGGAGAAACAGAGUGACUUGUAUUUUUUGGAAGAUAAAGCGGUGUUGCUUUGCAGCAGGAGAUAGGACUUGGGAUGCCAGAAAGAGUGCAUUAGCUCAGUGUCCCACUGAGAUGACCAAAACAGUUCAUCUUUGAAGCUGUAAUAUCGCGUUGGUAUGUAGUCAAUUUGAUCUUCAUGUUUCAGUUUGCUUUCCAACCAUUGGAGAUGUUUUUUCUUCUAGAUGAGAAUUCUGUAACAAAUACUGAAAUUGUAAAGUGGCAGGAUAUCUUGGGCCUGUAUAAGCUUUCUUGGGGUUUAUCUGCACUGUAAAAAGUUUGCUAAUAUGGCUAUAAUGAGUAGUCUAAACACAAUAAAUGCUGUUUAUAUUUGCCAAA